This 540-nucleotide ribosomal RNA is filed under the name uncultured bacterium. Its description in RNAcentral is "bacterial SSU rRNA". It matches the Rfam family "Bacterial small subunit ribosomal RNA", at positions 773 to 1308 of the family's 1533-position model. The record is from RNAcentral.
ACGUAAUAGAUACCCGGGUAGUCCACGCCCUAAACGAUGUCUACUAGUUGUUGGUGGAGUAAAAUCCAUGAGUAAACGCAGCUAAACGCGUGAAGUAGACCGCCUGGGGAGUACGGUCGCAAGAUUAAAACUCGAAGGAAUUGACGGGGGCCCGCACAAGCGGUGGAUUAUGUGGAUUAAUUCGAUGCAACGCGAAAAACCUUACCUGGCCUUGACAUGCCACUAACGAAGCAGAGAUGCAUUAGGUGCCCGUAAGGGAAAGUGGACACAGGUGCUGCAUGGCUGUCGUCAGCUCGUGUCGUGAGAUGUUGGGUUAAGUCCCGCAACGAGCGCAACCCUUGCCAUUAAUUGCCAUCAUUUAGUUGGGCACUUUAAUGGGACUGCCGGUGACAAACCGGAGGAAGGUGUGGAUGACGUCAAGUCCUCAUGGCCCUUAUGGCCAGGGCUUCACACGUAAUACAAUGGUCGGUACAGAGAGUUGCCAACCCGCGAGGGGUAGCUAAUCUCAGAAAGCCGAUCGUAGUCCGGAUUGUUCUCUGC